CCCAAAUUGUUUUUAUUGAUUAAAAGGGCCAAGCCCAUGGCCGAAGCCCACAAACAAAAAGCCCACUAGCAAGAGGCAACUUACAACAAAGGCCGAGGCCCAAAUUGAAUUAAACGGCCCAAAGCCCCAAAUACACACAAACGGACGGUUUGCCCUAGAGGUCCACCAAGGAGACAGGCCGGACACGUGUAAACAUCUGGAGAGUCUGCACGCCACGCGUCGUCCGUCUCAACUCGAUCUCCGCCUCUUCGCACAACCGCCGAAACCAGCCACCGACAACCACUUUUCACCGGAGCUCCGAUACUGCAGAGCCUCCGCGUCACCAUAACUCUUCACGGCCGCUCUGUCUUCACGCCGGAGAGAUCGUCGUUCUAACGAGGUCUCCCCCGGCUCUGAACCACCAGAAACCCUAGAUAGGCGCGCCGCGAACCACCGCUAUCUUGGCUUAACUAUCCUCACCGUCGCUGGAAUUCUCUUCCUC
RNAcentral lists this long non-coding RNA (481 nucleotides) under Brassica napus (rape). RNAcentral describes it as "long non-coding RNA (BNAP_LNC007405)". The record is from RNAcentral. Lineage: Eukaryota; Viridiplantae; Streptophyta; Magnoliopsida; Brassicales; Brassicaceae.